RNAcentral lists this ribosomal RNA (253 nucleotides) under uncultured bacterium. RNAcentral describes it as "partial 16S ribosomal RNA". It matches the Rfam family "Bacterial small subunit ribosomal RNA", at positions 524 to 776 of the family's 1533-position model. The record is from RNAcentral.
AACGUAGGAGGCAAGCGUUAUCCGGAGUUACUGGGCGUAAAGCGUAUGUAGGCGGUUGUACAAGUUGCGUGUGAAAGCGCCCGGCUAAACUGGGCGAGGCCACGUAAGACUGUAUAACUAGAGGGUGGUAGAGGGGCGUGGAAUUCCGGGUGUAGCGGUGAAAUGUGUAGAGAUCCGGAGGAACACCAGUGGUGCAGACGGCGCCCUGGGCCACUACUGACGCUGAUAUACGAAAGCGUGGGGAGCGAACGGG